AAAAUUAAAACCGAACCAAACCAAAUUAAUAAAAUUUGGUUUGAUUCAGUUUAAAGCAACCCAAAUUUAUCAAAAUACAUAAAAAUCAAUCCACAAUCCCAUACUAAACGUACAAUUCUUCUCAUCUUUCCAAUCCCCAGUUCCCCUCCCCAAAUCAAUUUUGUAUCACCAAACAAACACGACUCAACAAUUCAAAAACAACAUAAAUCAAAUAAUAAAAAUGAUAAUACCCAUUAAAACCAAAUUUAAACUUACAACAGAUUCAAUUACAUUUUCAACAAAAAUAAACAAUACAAAUGAUAAUACCCA
RNAcentral lists this unclassified non-coding RNA (309 nucleotides) under Hevea brasiliensis (rubber tree). The record is from RNAcentral. Lineage: Eukaryota; Viridiplantae; Streptophyta; Magnoliopsida; Malpighiales; Euphorbiaceae.